Molecule: non-coding RNA, 226 nt
Organism: Pelobates cultripes (western spadefoot toad)
Lineage: Eukaryota; Metazoa; Chordata; Amphibia; Anura; Pelobatidae
Source: the annotation of a GenBank genome assembly
GUCUUUUUCUAUUUUUCUGGACUAUGCUGGACUAUUAAACUAUUUUGUUAUUUUGAUUUUUUAGAGUUAGCCAGAGAGAGAGGAAGUGUUAGCUUACUCAGGCAUGGAUGUACUAUGUGUGUCAAUGAUGUAUGUUGAGUGUACCAAGGAUGGAUUCCCAUGUAUUAAGUGUGGAUAUGACUGGACCGUCGAAAUAGGGAUGUGAUUAGGAGACAUAGGAUGCAAG